Molecule: transfer RNA, 91 nt
Filed under: Cordylochernes scorpioides
Lineage: Eukaryota; Metazoa; Arthropoda; Arachnida; Pseudoscorpiones; Chernetidae
Description: tRNA-Ile
Rfam family: tRNA
About the family: Transfer RNA (tRNA) molecules are approximately 80 nucleotides in length. Their secondary structure includes four short double-helical elements and three loops (D, anti-codon, and T loops).
Source: RNAcentral
UCCCCAGUAGCGCAUUUGGUUAGCGCACGGUACUUAUAAGCAGUACUUGUGAGUGAUGCCGGGGUUGUGAGUUCGAGCCUCACCUGGGGAA